RNAcentral lists this ribosomal RNA (467 nucleotides) under uncultured bacterium. RNAcentral describes it as "bacterial SSU rRNA". It matches the Rfam family "Bacterial small subunit ribosomal RNA", at positions 28 to 479 of the family's 1533-position model. The record is from RNAcentral.
GAUGAACGCUGGCGGCGUGCUUAAUACAUGCAAGUCGAACGAAGCACUUCUCCCGUUGAUUGAAUUAGCUUGCUAAUGAUUGAAACAAUUGAAGUGACUGAGUGGCGGACGGGUGAGUAACGCGUGGGUAACCUGCCUUGUACAGGGGGAUAACAGUUGGAAACGACUGCUAAUACCGCAUAAGCGCACAGUACCGCAUGGUACGGUGUGAAAAACUCCGGUGGUACAAGAUGGGCCCGCGUCUGAUUGGCUAGUUGGUGAGGUAACGGCCCACCAAGGCAACGAUCAGUAGCCGACUUGAGAGAGUGAUCGGCCACAUUGGGACUGAGACACGGCCCAAACUCCUACGGGAGGCAGCAGUAGGGAAUAUUGCACAAUGGGGGAAACCCUGAUGCAGCGACGCCGCGUGAAGGAUGAAGUAUUUCGGUAUGUAAACUUCUAUCAGCAAGGAAGAAAAUGACGGUACU